This 253-nucleotide ribosomal RNA is filed under the name uncultured bacterium. RNAcentral describes it as "partial 16S ribosomal RNA". It matches the Rfam family "Bacterial small subunit ribosomal RNA", at positions 524 to 776 of the family's 1533-position model. The record is from RNAcentral.
UACGUAGGGUGCAAGCGUUGUCCGGAAUUAUUGGGCGUAAAGAGCUCGUAGGCGGUUUGUCGCGUCUGGUGUGAAAAUCCAGGGCUUAACCCUGGACCUGCAUCGGGUACGGGCAGACUAGAGUGCGGUAGGGGAGAUCGGAAUUCCUGGUGUAGCGGUGAAAUGCGCAGAUAUCAGGAGGAACACCGGUGGCGAAGGCGGAUCUCUGGGCCGUAACUGACGCUGAGGAGCGAAAGCGUGGGGAGCGAACAGG